This 488-nucleotide ribosomal RNA is filed under the name uncultured bacterium. RNAcentral's name for it is "partial 16S ribosomal RNA". It matches the Rfam family "Bacterial small subunit ribosomal RNA", at positions 28 to 523 of the family's 1533-position model. The record is from RNAcentral.
GACGAACGCUGGCGGCGUGCUUAACACAUGCAAGUCGAACGAUGAUCCGGGUGCUUGCACCUGGGGAUUAGCGGCGAACGGGUGAGUAACACGUGAGUAACCUGCCCUGGACUCUGGGAUAACCCCGAGAAAUCGGAGCUAAUACCGGAUAGGACCUUUCCUCGCAUGAGGUGGGGUGGAAAGUUUUUUCGGUUUGGGAUGGACUCGCGGCCUAUCAGCUUGUUGGUGAGGUAAUGGCUCACCAAGGCGUCGACGGGUAGCCGGCCUGAGAGGGUGGCCGGCCACACGGGGACUGAGACACGGCCCAGACUCCUACGGGAGGCAGCAGUGGGGAAUAUUGCACAAUGGGCGCAAGCCUGAUGCAGCAACGCCGCGUGCGGGAUGACGGCCUUCGGGUUGUAAACCGCUUUUAGUAGGGAAGAAGCCUCUUGGGGUGACGGUACCUGCAGAAAAAGGACCGGCUAACUACGUGCCAGCCGCCGCCGUAA